UACGAAGGGGACUAGCGUUGUUCGGAAUUACUGGGCGUAAAGCGCACGUAGGCGGAUUUGUUAGUCAGGGGUGAAAUCCCGGGGCUCAACCCCGGACCUGCAUCCGAUACUGCCAGGCUAGAGGCAGGUAGGGGAGAUCGGAAUUCCUGGUGUAGCGGUGAAAUGCGCAGAUAUCAGGAGGAACACCGGUGGCGAAGGCGGGUCUCUGGGCCGAUACUGACGCUGAGGAGCGAAAGCGUGGGGAGCGAACAGG
This 253-nucleotide ribosomal RNA is filed under the name uncultured bacterium. Its description in RNAcentral is "partial 16S ribosomal RNA". It matches the Rfam family "Bacterial small subunit ribosomal RNA", at positions 524 to 776 of the family's 1533-position model. The record is from RNAcentral.